Long non-coding RNA from Pipistrellus kuhlii (Kuhl's pipistrelle), 1209 nucleotides. RefSeq lists it as uncharacterized. The record is from RefSeq and is a predicted model, not a curated record. The transcript has 3 exons. NCBI's taxonomy places the organism in Eukaryota, Metazoa, Chordata, Mammalia, Chiroptera, Vespertilionidae.
CAGCUCCCUGUUCCAGAUUGAUAAUGAAUAUAUGUUUACAAGGUCUUCAGUCCAUUGUUUUUAUAGAGUUUUACUGAAAUACAGCCACACAUAUUCAGGUAUGUAUUGUCUAUAACAGCAGAGUUAAGUACUUGUGCAAAAGACUGUAUGGCACACAACGCCUAAAAUAUGUUACUAUCUGGCACUUUAUAGAGAAGAUUUGUCAACCCCUGGAAUAUAUCAGUCUACAGGUGUUAAUGGUGAUAAACUAUAUAUGGUAAACGGAAAAGAAGCUGGAGGGUCACAUGUCAACAGCAAACAGUUGGGAGGGAGUAAGAAGGUGACUUCCAUCCACUGUUUACAUUUUACACUUUGGAAUCAUUGCUUUAAUUUACUCUUUACUAAGUUAUAACUUACAGCAACAAGCACAAACCCUAAAUGGAUAGCCUGAUGGCGUGCCCACCAUCCCAAUCAACAUAUAGGACUUCCCUAGCACACCAGAAAGCUCCCUCAUGACCCAUCCGUCUCUAGAAACACCCAGAAGCAACAUCGAUUUUAACUUCUAUCACCAUGGAUUAAUUUUUCCUGCUUGUUAAUGUUGUAUAUACCCUUUUGUGUCUAGGAAAGGUAUUCUACAACUUCCUUGCUGACAACUCAGAAAACUGAGAAGACUAUCUGCUGGGAUGCUUACACUUUCCACAGGAAGGGGUAGGUAUUGGAUCUGUUCAGGGAUCUGUAGCUGCAGUUACUUUGUGAGGGCUCCAAUUGCCAUAGGUGGCAUACAGGAGGUCCACCUGGGCAGGGGGUUAAGGGAAUAGAUCACCUGCAAGGCUAUCUGGACCCUCAUCAGGAAAUUUCCCUCUACUUUGUGAGACUUCCUGUAUGUUCACAUAGUUUGCUUGGGGUAGGGGGAAGAAGGAUGGGUUUGCCGCCACCUGAAUUUUGAGAGAGAAGGGAGCUUGAGAGUCAGGCUGGGCACGGAGCAACUGGAACUACAAAUCAAAGUUUUGUUGUUAAAAGGGAAGUGAUGGCUGGUUUUUUAAUGGGUUUUACCAGCUAAACACAGAAACUGAUCUUCAUUACACUUGACUGCUUCUAUCAUGAUAGCAAAGAGAGACACAGACAAAGAGCGUGUUCUCCAGGGACAUUGACUCUGAACACUUCAUUAUCUUUGCUGAGGGGAGCUGGGUAGGCAGAGAAUGUUCUCCCAGGGGGCCCAAUUGUGAGGGG